This is a non-coding RNA of Manis javanica (Malayan pangolin), 913 nucleotides long. NCBI's taxonomy places the organism in Eukaryota, Metazoa, Chordata, Mammalia, Pholidota, Manidae. The record is from RefSeq and is a predicted model, not a curated record.
GCGGCGGCGACUGCUGCAGCUGGCUCAGCUGCGCGGGCUGUGCCCCCUCCCCGCCAGCGAGAGGAGGAAGGCUGGUGGACAACCUGCACCAACAAAACUGAGAAGUAAAUCAAGAGAACGGGCAACAUGGGAAUAACUGCAUUGAGCUCAGGUUCCGUGGGAUACUCGCUGGCUGGAGGGGAGGCGGCUGACCAGGGAUGCUCCCAAGGAAACCCAUGUGUGCCAACACAGGCUGGAUACGGAUGGUCCAGCAGGACUAGCCGCACGCACGCAAACCACUUCUAAAGGAGGGCAGGAUAGGUGGCAGAGAAAACCAGAACAUGGAUCCUAAAAACUUACGAGGCAGAAGGUUCGCUUUCCACCGUUUCUGGACCCACACUCUGGAAGCUGACGGUCCUCCUGAUGUCGUUAGAAGGUCGGUGGUAGCCUGAUGCUACAUCACAGUGCCUACGUCAUUCACCUCUCUUCAUCUCAUCAUACAGGCAUUUUAUCACGUGAUGUCAUCAUAAGGGGUUUAAACACUGCUCCAGUGACAUCUGCACUCAUGAAGGGGGAAAGGAAGAGGAUCCCCCAACCGAUGGAGAAAGAGAGUCUCUGAGUAGUGAAAGUUACUGUCAUGGGUACCAGUCGGGUCCAGUUUCUGUUUGGAGCCUUCUUGUGAAGGGAUAGAACCCGUCAAAAACUGCUCUGCUGUCAAAUCCACAGAAUCCAAAGAAUUUGCAUCCUGCAAAUCUCCUGCCACCCAUGAAGCCCAUUCUGUUUGUCCCAAGCUGGCGACACUUUAAAGCUGAUCCCUGAGCUGACAUGACCGGAUGGAGUGAGCAAAAAUCUUCCAGUAAAAGAAGACGCUGAUCAAAUGACACGUGUGAGCAGUCGCAGAUUUUUGCAAAAGGGAGGCUUCAUAAAUCCAAGG